UGCGGGCGGGGGCAGCGCGGCGG
Molecule: microRNA, 23 nt
Filed under: Gallus gallus (chicken)
Lineage: Eukaryota; Metazoa; Chordata; Aves; Galliformes; Phasianidae
Description: gga-miR-12279-5p
Source: miRBase by way of RNAcentral